UCGGCCCAGAUCCGGAACGAGGUGAGACCUCGAAUUCCAGCGGACGACGCGGAACCGUCUCCCCCUCGUCUCUCUCUCGCAACCCCAUCCCCUCUCGCCCUCUCCUCUCUGGUGCGCCGCCUCCCCUCGUCCCUCUCCUCCCUCGAUUCGCGCCACCGGCAGUUCCUCUCCCCCAUCUGCACCGGUGAGUGUCCUUCCCCCACCCCACCCUCUUCCUCGUCUUCUCCUCAAUCAGCUGCGGGGCGGCGGACGAGCGGCUGCGAGGCGACGGUCUUGAAGCUGGGCGGCGAGCCAGCGCUACUUCGGCGCGAGGAUUGGAAGCCAGCCAACGGCAGCCACACCUGAGCGGCGGCAGCAUCAGCUUGCCUGGGCAGCGGCAGCGGCCAGAGAGGAAAGGAGCAGAUGGCGUUCAGUAUUGAUGGAUGCGUUCAGUAUCUUUGCUUGAACUGAACGCAAAAUUAACUAAGAUGCGUUCAUGCCAAACUCAACAUGUUCCUGAUGCUUGCAGUGAGAUUUUUUUUUGUUCAUGCCUGUAGAUUUUUGCCGGAUGCGUUCAUGCUAAACUCAAGAUGGCAAACUCUUCAUGUGAAUAGAAAACAGUGAGAAUUUUUUUUCCUGUAUGAACCGUAGAUCCUUUUGAGAUUAUAUCAAUUGAUGGUGCUGCAAAAGUGCAAAUACAAAUGAAAUGGCCGCUGAAAAUUUGAAUAAUUUGAUGCUAAAAAUGUGUGCAUGUUUGUCAAUGCUUUUCCUCCUUGAUUGAGUCAAUUUUGUCUUUUGACCAAUUUUUUACAUGUACUUGACAGAAAUUGAUAAAAUGUAAAGAGAUAUAAUUGUGACCAUGUAUAUACGUAUGUGAAACUCCCACCAUUUCUAUGCAAAGAUUUGAGAUAAACCAAAUGCAUUCUGUGGAAAAACUCAUUUCGUGCUAUCCCAACCAAACGCUGAGAUGGAACCAUUCCGUUCCUCCUAAUUCCCUUCAUCAAACACCGGAACAGAACCAACCCGUUUCGGUGGAAUGGAACCAUGACAUUACAUUCUACUUCGUUUCCGAACCAAACACACCCUAAGUUCUUCGUGCCUUACCUUAGGUGUCUCAUUGUUGCUAGCAUGAUGUGUUUAGUUCCAUUUCUAUGACUAUAUUUACCAUUGAUUUUAUCUUAUAAGCAUGCAUUGGCAAUUUGUGUC
RNAcentral lists this ribosomal RNA (1185 nucleotides) under Triticum aestivum (bread wheat). RNAcentral's name for it is "partial small subunit ribosomal RNA". Lineage: Eukaryota; Viridiplantae; Streptophyta; Magnoliopsida; Poales; Poaceae. The record is from RNAcentral.